CCUGUGGUCACCUGUGGUUACUUAGACUCUCCCGGCCCCGUCUGCACUGCCUAAUGCCUUUUAGCUGUGACAUUAUAAUGUGUUAAUUUGUUUCCUAAACUGGAGUUCAUUUGCUUCAGUAAUUAUUCCCAGAGCCCUCCUCCCCCUCCUCCCCGUCCUCCCCCCUCCUGCCCUAACCAAGCAGAGACGAGGAGUAAAUGAAUUGCAGCGUGCCAGGCUGGGAGCCAUAACUGAUCCCUGAGAUCUUAGUGACGCUGCACGGUGCCCAACACGGUGAAAUCCCAAGUUGACUGACUCACUCGUGAAAGACCAGGCAAACAAAAAACAAAAGCGUCCGAGUUGCUUUACUUUCAUCUCCAAAACGCAAAAGACCAACAAUGUAGACAACAAUUCCAUGGACUCCACCAGUGAAAAUAUUGCGGUGAAUUUUCUUUACAUCAAGGAUUCGAUAAAUCAACUUCAUCUGACUGUGGGUUCGAAGGUGCGGCAAGACACGGAGAUGAGGAAAUGCAGGGGGAAAGUUAAAAACAUAUUGUUCCGAACCUGAGACAGUCCACACCUCCUGUCGAAGAAACGACAUGGAUGAUGGACGACCGUGACAGACACUGUGGAGGACACCUUGUUCCACUACCUGCCAUACAUCAUUCCAACUCCUGCCUUCAUUCCUUCUGUUGACAUCUGAACCCAUCUGACCCGCGGCGCACACAGAGCUGAUGCUGCAGAACCAAGAUGUGAUGCAGCCUCUGAGAUGAAAGACAACAGUGUCAGGGACACGAGCAGCCCAACACUGAAGGACCAGACUUCCUCUUACCCUGCACUUCAUCAUGUCGCUGACCCUCUGUUGCAUGGACUGCCCAGCUUUAGGUCGGACCAGAAUGUAGAUGGCUUUGACCUCGGGACACGACCUCAGCAGCUUCUCCACC
Cynoglossus semilaevis (tongue sole) is the source of this 923-nucleotide long non-coding RNA. RefSeq lists it as uncharacterized. The transcript has 4 exons. NCBI's taxonomy places the organism in Eukaryota, Metazoa, Chordata, Actinopteri, Pleuronectiformes, Cynoglossidae. The record is from RefSeq and is a predicted model, not a curated record.